Molecule: ribosomal RNA, 292 nt
Filed under: uncultured bacterium
Lineage: Bacteria
Description: partial 16S ribosomal RNA
Rfam family: Bacterial small subunit ribosomal RNA
Source: RNAcentral
GUGCCAGCAGCCGCGGUAAUACGUAGGGUGCGAGCGUUAAUCGGAAUUACUGGGCGUAAAGCGUGCGUAGGCGGUCCCGCAAGUCCGCUGUGAAAGCCCCGAGCUUAACUUGGGAACUGCAGUGGAAACUAUGGGACUUGAAUCCGGCAGAGGGGGGUGGAAUGCCACGUGUAGCAGUGAAAUGCGUAGAGAUGUGGCGGAACACCGAUGGCGAAGGCAGCCCCCUGGGCUGAGAUUGACGCUCAGGCACGAAAGCGUGGGGAGCAAACAGGAUUAGAAACCCGGGUAGUCC